RNAcentral lists this unclassified non-coding RNA (489 nucleotides) under uncultured Tylospora. RNAcentral describes it as "sequence contains ITS1, 5.8S rRNA gene and ITS2". The stretch from base 95 to 249 matches the Rfam family "5.8S ribosomal RNA". The record is from RNAcentral. Lineage: Eukaryota; Fungi; Basidiomycota; Agaricomycetes; Atheliales; Atheliaceae.
CACCGUGGGCCUUCGGGCCCGCGUAUAUUUACUCUGAAUGUGUAUAGAAUGUAAACCGUUCGUUUGCCCUGAAAAAGCAAACGAAAAAAAGUACAACUUUCAACAACGGAUCUCUUGGCUCUCGCAUCGAUGAAGAACGCAGCGAAAUGCGAUAAGUAAUGUGAAUUGCAGAUUUUCAGUGAAUCAUCGAAUCUUUGAACGCACCUUGCGCCCCUUGGUAUUCCGAGGGGCAUGCCUGUUUGAGUGUCAUUAAAUCCUCAACCGCGCCGAUCGAUUUCGGUGGGGCUUGGACUUUGGAGCGUGCUGGCGAAGGUCGGCUCCUCUUUAAAUGCAUCAGCGGAAGAAACCUUUGUCUUUCCUGCCCUUCGGUGUGAUAAUCGUGUUGCGCCGCGGUGGAACUUCAACGAUCCGCUUACAAUGGUCUUCGGACGAAUACCUCAUGUCAUCUUGACCUCAAAUCAGGUAGGACUACCCGCUGAACUUAAGCAU